This 650-nucleotide ribosomal RNA is filed under the name uncultured phototrophic eukaryote. RNAcentral's name for it is "bacterial SSU rRNA". It matches the Rfam family "Bacterial small subunit ribosomal RNA", at positions 83 to 765 of the family's 1533-position model. The record is from RNAcentral.
GAUAAUAUGAGAGUGGCGAACGGGUGAGUAACACGUAAGAAUCUACCUUUAGGACGGGGAUAACUUCUGGAAACGGAUGCUAAUACCCGAUAUGCUGUGGAGUGAAAUGAAUUUCGCCUAAAGAUGAUCUUGCGUCUGAUUAGCUAGAUAGGGUGGUAAUGGCGCCCUAUGGCGACGAUCAGUAGCUGGUCUGAGAGGAUGGACAGCCACAUUGGGACUGAGACACGGCCCAAACUCCUACGGGAGGCAGCAGUGGGGAAUUUUCCGCAAUGGGCGAAAGCCUGACGGAGCGACGCUGCGUGAAGGAUGACGGCCUGAGGGUUGUAAACUUCUUUUCUCGAAGAAGAAUCAAUGACGGUAUUCGAGGAAUAAGCAUCGGCUAACUCUGUGCCAGCAGCCGCGGUAAGACAGAGGAUGCAAGUGUUAUUCGGAUUGAUUGGGCGUAAAGCGUCUGUAGGCGGUUUAGAAAGUCUUUUGUGAAAUACUUCAGCUCAACUGGAGCUCCGCAAAAGAAACUUCUAGACUUGAGGGAAGUAGAGGUACAGGGAAUUUCCGGUGGAGCGGUGAAAUGCGUAGAUAUCGGAAGGAACACCAAUAUGGCGAAGGCACUGUACUGGGCUUUACCUGACGCUAAGAGACGAAAGCUAAAG